AUUAAAAAGCUGGUGAAAUAGCAACCUUAUAACCUGGUCAGGACAGAGAUGUAGCAGCCAUAUUAAGAAGUGUUAUGUUCGCCAGCUUUUUAAAAAGC
RNAcentral lists this signal recognition particle RNA (98 nucleotides) under Mycoplasmopsis bovis PG45. RNAcentral's name for it is "Mycoplasma bovis PG45 Bacterial signal recognition particle RNA". It matches the Rfam family "Bacterial small signal recognition particle RNA". From Rfam's summary of the family: The signal recognition particle (SRP) is a universally conserved ribonucleoprotein involved in the co-translational targeting of proteins to membranes. The record is from RNAcentral. Lineage: Bacteria; Bacillati; Mycoplasmatota; Mycoplasmoidales; Metamycoplasmataceae.